GAUGAACGCUGGCGGUAUGCUUAACACAUGCAAGUCGAACGGACUCUUCGGAGUUAGUGGCGGACGGGUGAGUAACGCGUGAGAAUCUGGCUUUGGGUUCGGGACAACCACUGGAAACGGUGGCUAAUACCGGAUGUGCCGAGAGGUAAAAGAGAAAUUGCCUGAAGAUGAGCUCGCGUCUGAUUAGCUAGUUGGUGAGGUAAAGGCUCACCAAGGCAGCGAUCAGUAGCUGGUCUGAGAGGAUGACCAGCCACACUGGGACUGAGACACGGCCCAGACUCCUACGGGAGGCAGCAGUGGGGAAUUGUCCGCAAUGGGCGAAAGCCUGACAGAGCAAUACCGCGUGAGGGAAGAAGGCUCUUGGGUUGUAAACCUCUUUUCUUAGAGAAGAACAAAAUGACGGUACCUAAGGAAUCAGCAUCGGCUAACUCCGUG
RNAcentral lists this ribosomal RNA (435 nucleotides) under uncultured bacterium. Its description in RNAcentral is "partial 16S ribosomal RNA". It matches the Rfam family "Bacterial small subunit ribosomal RNA", at positions 28 to 507 of the family's 1533-position model. The record is from RNAcentral.